AAAAAGCGGAGGAAAAGAAACUAACAAGGAUUCCCCUAGUAACUGCGAGUGAAGCGGGAAAAGCUCAAAUUUAAAAUCUGGUGGUCUUUGGCCAUCCGAGUUGUAAUCUAGAGAAGUGUUAUCCGCGCUGGACCGUGUACAAGUCCCCUGGAAUGGGGCGUCAUAGAGGGUGAGAAUCCCGUCUUUGACACGGACUACCAGGGCUUUGUGAUGCACUCUCAAAGAGUCGAGUUGUUUGGGAAUGCAGCUCAAAAUGGGUGGUAAAUUCCAUCUAAAGCUAAAUAUUGGCGAGAGACCGAUAGCGAACAAGUACCGUGAGGGAAAGAUGAAAAGAACUUUGGAAAGAGAGUUAAACAGUACGUGAAAUUGUUGAAAGGGAAACGCUUGAAGUCAGUCGCGUCUGCCAGGGAUCAACCUUACUUUUGUGAGGCGUACUUCCUGGUUGAUGGGUCAGCAUCAGUUUUGGUCGCUGGAUAAAGGUCAGAGAAAUGUGGCACCUUCGGGUGUGUUAUAGUCUUUGAUCAGAUACAGUGGCUGGGACUGAGGAACUCAGCGCCGCAAGGCUGUCUUAGGAUGCUGGCAAAAUGGCUUUAAUCGACCCGUCUUGAAACACGGACAA
Molecule: ribosomal RNA, 619 nt
Filed under: Pleurotus floridanus
Lineage: Eukaryota; Fungi; Basidiomycota; Agaricomycetes; Agaricales; Pleurotaceae
Description: LSU rRNA
Rfam family: Eukaryotic large subunit ribosomal RNA
Source: RNAcentral